This 460-nucleotide ribosomal RNA is filed under the name uncultured bacterium. RNAcentral describes it as "partial 16S ribosomal RNA". It matches the Rfam family "Bacterial small subunit ribosomal RNA", at positions 338 to 795 of the family's 1533-position model. The record is from RNAcentral.
CCUACGGGAGGCAGCAGUGAGGAAUAUUGGUCAAUGGGCGCGAGCCUGAACCAGCCAAGUAGCGUGAAGGAUGACUGCCCUACGGGUUGUAAACUUCUUUUAUAAAGGAAUAGAGUGAGGCGCGUGUGCCUUUUUGUGUGUACUUUAUGAAUAAGGCUCGGCUAACUCCGUGCCAGCAGCCGCGGUAAUACGGAGGAUCCGAGCGUUAUCCGGAUUUAGUGGGUUUAAAGGGAGCGUAGAUGGGUGGUUAAGUCAGUUGUGAAAGUUUGCGGCUCAACCGUAAAAUUGCAAUUGAUACUGGCAGUCUUGAGUACAGUUGAGGUAGGCGGAAUUCGUGGUGUAGCGGUGAAAUGCGUAGAUAUCACGAAGAACUCCGAUUGCGAAGGCAGCUUACUAAACUGCAACUGACAUUGAUGCGCGAAAGUGUGGGUAUCAAACAGGAUUAGAUACCCGGGUAGUC